RNAcentral lists this ribosomal RNA (523 nucleotides) under uncultured Bacillota bacterium. RNAcentral describes it as "bacterial SSU rRNA". It matches the Rfam family "Bacterial small subunit ribosomal RNA", at positions 383 to 896 of the family's 1533-position model. The record is from RNAcentral. Lineage: Bacteria; Bacillati; Bacillota.
CUGACGGAGCAACGCCGCGUGAGUGACGAAGGUCUUCGGAUUGUAAAACUCUGUCUUUUGGGAAGAACGGCUCAUAUGUGAAUAAUGUAUGGGAUUGACGGUACCAAAGGAGGAAGCCCCGGCUAACUACGUGCCAGCAGCCGCGGUAAUACGUAGGGGGCGAGCGUUGUCCGGAAUUAUUGGGCGUAAAGAGCGCGCAGGCGGUUUGUUAAGUCUACCGUGAAAGCUUACGGCUCAACCGUAACGGGUCGGUGGAUACUGGCAGACUUGAGGGCAGGAGAGGAAAGUGGAAUUCCCAGUGUAGCGGUGAAAUGCGUAGAGAUUGGGAGGAACACCAGUGGCGAAGGCGACUUUCUGGACUGCAACUGACGCUGAGGCGCGAAAGCUGGGGGAGUGAACGGGAUUAGAUACCCCGGUAAUCCCAGCCGUAAACGAUGGGUACUAGGUGUAGGAGGUAUCGACCCCUUCUGUGCCGGAGUUAACGCAAUAAGUACCCCGCCUGGGGAGUACGGUCGCAAGACUG